GCAAUGAGAGCAUUGACUAAGGUCAUUCUAUGACUUAGCAUUACACAUGGAGACACAUACCCUAUAAAGGUGCUCAGAUGAGCAAAAGCUAUUUCCUUAUUGAAUGCGUGAUGAUUCAAAAGGUUUUUGCAAUAAAAUGAAAGAGUGCUUCAAAUUAUAUGGUUGCAUUUCAAGCGCUAUGUGAAGAAACACUAAGUACUAGAAGUACUACAUUAAGAUCAUAUAGAG
Molecule: long non-coding RNA, 228 nt
Filed under: Salvia miltiorrhiza (redroot sage)
Lineage: Eukaryota; Viridiplantae; Streptophyta; Magnoliopsida; Lamiales; Lamiaceae
Description: long non-coding RNA (SMIL_LNC004072)
Source: RNAcentral